RNAcentral lists this ribosomal RNA (749 nucleotides) under uncultured Acidovorax sp. RNAcentral describes it as "bacterial SSU rRNA". It matches the Rfam family "Bacterial small subunit ribosomal RNA", at positions 28 to 774 of the family's 1533-position model. The record is from RNAcentral. Lineage: Bacteria; Pseudomonadati; Pseudomonadota; Betaproteobacteria; Burkholderiales; Comamonadaceae.
AUUGAACGCUGGCGGCAUGCCUUACACAUGCAAGUCGAACGGUAACAGGUCUUCGGAUGCUGACGAGUGGCGAACGGGUGAGUAAUACAUCGGAACGUGCCCGAUCGUGGGGGAUAACGAAGCGAAAGCUUUGCUAAUACCGCAUACGAUCUACGGAUGAAAGCAGGGGACCGCAAGGCCUUGCGCGAACGGAGCGGCCGAUGGCAGAUUAGGUAGUUGGUGGGAUAAAAGCUUACCAAGCCGACGAUCUGUAGCUGGUCUGAGAGGACGACCAGCCACACUGGGACUGAGACACGGCCCAGACUCCUACGGGAGGCAGCAGUGGGGAAUUUUGGACAAUGGGCGAAAGCCUGAUCCAGCCAUGCCGCGUGCAGGAUGAAGGCCUUCGGGUUGUAAACUGCUUUUGUACGGAACGAAAAGACUCUGGUUAAUACCUGGGGUCCAUGACGGUACCGUAAGAAUAAGCACCGGCUAACUACGUGCCAGCAGCCGCGGUAAUACGUAGGGUGCAAGCGUUAAUCGGAAUUACUGGGCGUAAAGCGUGCGCAGGCGGUUAUAUAAGACAGAUGUGAAAUCCCCGGGCUCAACCUGGGAACUGCAUUUGUGACUGUAUAGCUAGAGUACGGCAGAGGGGGAUGGAAUUCCGCGUGUAGCAGUGAAAUGCGUAGAUAUGCGGAGGAACACCGAUGGCGAAGGCAAUCCCCUGGGCCUGUACUGACGCUCAUGCACGAAAGCGUGGGGAGCAAACA